Molecule: regulatory RNA element, 331 nt
Organism: Cronobacter sakazakii ATCC BAA-894
Lineage: Bacteria; Pseudomonadati; Pseudomonadota; Gammaproteobacteria; Enterobacterales; Enterobacteriaceae
Rfam family: RNase E 5' UTR element
About the family: This family represents a conserved element found in the 5' UTR of RNase E mRNA. RNase E is a key regulatory enzyme in the pathway of mRNA degradation in E. coli that is able to auto-regulate the degradation of its own mRNA in response to changes in RNase E activity. This rne 5' UTR element acts as a sensor of cellular RNase E concentration enabling tight regulation of RNase E concentration and synthesis.
Source: Rfam
UUUUCCGUGUUGAGACUUGUUUAGACAAGGAAUUUUGCGGAAUUACCAGUUUUGCCUGACAGUCCUUCCACGCGGCAAUGGCGUAAGACGUGUUGAACUUUCAGGCAGUUAGCGGGCUGCGGGUUGCAGCCUGGCCGGUAAAGGGAAGCUUCCGGAGAAACAAUCCCGGUCAUUCCUCUGAUAAUUGCGCUGUAUUUCCACCUGAAAUACAGGCUACCGACACUCUGCGCCUCUUAAGCGUUCGACAACCGGGAGGUUGACGGCGCGAACAGUCACGAGGCCAUCGGUUCACUCCCGGUCAGCGUCACCAUGCCCGCAGCUUUGUCGUCAA